GGAAAAAUAAAGAGCAAAGGCAAAGCCUACGACAAGAAUUAGAUUACAGUGAUGGUCAAAAGCAUUUAAAUAUUGCUUUGAAAUCUACAGAUAAGGUAUGGCAGUUUCAUUUUAAAGAACAAGAUGUUAAAGUUUGUGAUAAAAUUGUCAUCAGAAAUACUGUCCACUUCAGUAUUUACAUAGGAAAAUAUUGGAGGAUGAAACUCUACCUACUGCCUCAGGUUAAUUUAAAUUCUGAAUUGCAACAACAGCAACAAGCAAGAAGGGCACCAUUAAAUGAAUAUUAUACACAUAAGUAUUAUUAUACACAGAAAGAGUAAUGUUAUACACAUAAAUAUUAACAUUUUGUAGAGCAACAACAGAAUAAAAAACCAAAAUAUGAACAGCAGCAACUAAAACAGGAACCAUUAAAUGAAUAUUAUACACAGCAAUAACAGCAUCAAAUAAUGGAAAUAAUGGACCCUAUUGCUCAAAUC
Long non-coding RNA from Sitophilus oryzae (rice weevil), 476 nucleotides. RefSeq lists it as uncharacterized. Lineage: Eukaryota; Metazoa; Arthropoda; Insecta; Coleoptera; Curculionidae. The transcript is spliced from 3 exons. The record is from RefSeq and is a predicted model, not a curated record.